RNAcentral lists this ribosomal RNA (586 nucleotides) under uncultured bacterium. RNAcentral describes it as "bacterial SSU rRNA". It matches the Rfam family "Bacterial small subunit ribosomal RNA", at positions 352 to 929 of the family's 1533-position model. The record is from RNAcentral.
CAGUAGGGAAUCUUCGGCAAUGGGGGCAACCCUGACCGAGCAACGCCGCGUGAGUGAAGAAGGUUUUCGGAUCGUAAAGCUCUGUUGUAAGAGAAGAACGAGUGUGAGAGUGGAAAGUUCACACUGUGACGGUAACUUACCAGAAAGGGACGGCUAACUACGUGCCAGCAGCCGCGGUAAUACGUAGGUCCCGAGCGUUAUCCGGAUUUAUUGGGCGUAAAGCGAGCGCAGGCGGUUAGAUAAGUCUGAAGUUAAAGGCUGUGGCUUAACCAUAGUACGCUUUGGAAACUGUUUAACUUGAGUGCAGAAGGGGAGAGUGGAAUUCCAUGUGUAGCGGUGAAAUGCGUAGAUAUAUGGAGGAACACCGGUGGCGAAAGCGGCUCUCUGGUCUGUAACUGACGCUGAGGCUCGAAAGCGUGGGGAGCAAACAGGAUUAGAUACCCUGGUAGUCCACGCCGUAAACGAUGAGUGCUAGGUGUUGGGUCCUUUCCGGGACUCAGUGCCGCAGCUAACGCAUUAAGCACUCCGCCUGGGGAGUACGACCGCAAGGUUGAAACUCAAAGGAAUUGACGGGGGCCCGCACAAG